GGCCCUGUAGUUCAAUGGAUAGAAUAUGGCUUUCCUAAAGCUUAGAUGUAGGUUCGAUUCCUGCCAGGGCUACUA
RNAcentral lists this transfer RNA (75 nucleotides) under Marivirga lumbricoides. Its description in RNAcentral is "tRNA-Arg". It matches the Rfam family "tRNA". From Rfam's summary of the family: Transfer RNA (tRNA) molecules are approximately 80 nucleotides in length. Their secondary structure includes four short double-helical elements and three loops (D, anti-codon, and T loops). The record is from RNAcentral. Lineage: Bacteria; Pseudomonadati; Bacteroidota; Cytophagia; Cytophagales; Marivirgaceae.